This 245-nucleotide ribosomal RNA is filed under the name uncultured Ruminococcus sp. Its description in RNAcentral is "partial 16S ribosomal RNA". It matches the Rfam family "Bacterial small subunit ribosomal RNA", at positions 524 to 768 of the family's 1533-position model. Lineage: Bacteria; Bacillati; Bacillota; Clostridia; Eubacteriales; Oscillospiraceae. The record is from RNAcentral.
UACGUAGGGGGCAAGCGUUAUCCGGAUUUACUGGGUGUAAAGGGAGCGUAGACGGUGAGGCAAGUCCGAUGUGAAAACCCGGGGCUCAACCCCGGGAUUGCAUUGGAAACUGUCCCACUUGAGUACUGGAGGGGUAAGCGGAAUUCCUGGUGUAGCGGUGAAAUGCGUAGAUAUCAGGAGGAACACCGGUGGCGAAGGCGGCUUACUGGACAGUAACUGACGUUGAGGCUCGAAAGCGUGGGGAG